CAUGAUGAACGAGGGAUCCAGUGUCUCCC
RNAcentral lists this non-coding RNA (29 nucleotides) under Homo sapiens (human). Lineage: Eukaryota; Metazoa; Chordata; Mammalia; Primates; Hominidae. The record is from RNAcentral.